CGGACGGGUGAGGUAACGCGUGGGGAACCGUGCCCUGUACAGGGGGAGUUAACACUUAGAAAUAGGUGCUAAUACCGCAUAAGCGCACAGUAUCGCAUGAUACAGUGUGAAAAACUCCGGUGGUACAGGAUGGACCCGCGUCUGAUUAGCUGGUUGGCGGGUAACGGCCCACCAAGGCGACGAUCAGUAGCCGGCCUGAGAGGGUGAACGGCCCACAUUGGGACUGAGACACGGCCCAAACUCCUACGGGAGGCAGCAG
Molecule: ribosomal RNA, 259 nt
Filed under: uncultured bacterium
Lineage: Bacteria
Description: partial 16S ribosomal RNA
Rfam family: Bacterial small subunit ribosomal RNA
Source: RNAcentral